GCGCUCGUGGUGGAACUGGUAGACACGCAGGAUUUAGGUUCCUGUGCCUUGUGGGUGUGCGGGUUCGAGUCCCGCCGAGCGCA
Molecule: transfer RNA, 83 nt
Filed under: Serinicoccus marinus
Lineage: Bacteria; Bacillati; Actinomycetota; Actinomycetes; Micrococcales; Ornithinimicrobiaceae
Rfam family: tRNA
About the family: Transfer RNA (tRNA) molecules are approximately 80 nucleotides in length. Their secondary structure includes four short double-helical elements and three loops (D, anti-codon, and T loops).
Source: RNAcentral